UGAAUACGUUCCCGGGCCUUGUACACACCGCCCGUCACACCAUGAGAGUUGGCAAUACCCAAAGUUCGUGAGCUAACCGCAAGGAGGCAGCGACCUAAGGUAGGGUCAGCGAUUGGGGUGAAGUCGUAACAAGGUAGCCGUAGGAGAACCUGCGGCUGGAUCACCUCCUUUCUAUGGAGA
This 180-nucleotide ribosomal RNA is filed under the name Clostridium butyricum. RNAcentral describes it as "partial 16S ribosomal RNA". It matches the Rfam family "Bacterial small subunit ribosomal RNA", at positions 1363 to 1533 of the family's 1533-position model. The record is from RNAcentral. Lineage: Bacteria; Bacillati; Bacillota; Clostridia; Eubacteriales; Clostridiaceae.